CGGGGGAGGCGGGAACCUGGGCUGUGUCCCGGCGCCCUGUGCUCCCAGGGCCUGCGCUGUUGGAUUCGCGCUCCCGCCCCGCAGCCCCCU
Molecule: microRNA precursor, 90 nt
Filed under: Canis lupus familiaris (dog)
Lineage: Eukaryota; Metazoa; Chordata; Mammalia; Carnivora; Canidae
Also listed under: 1 other name
Description: mir-8799 microRNA precursor family
Rfam family: mir-8799 microRNA precursor family
Source: Rfam by way of RNAcentral